Long non-coding RNA from Pseudopodoces humilis (Tibetan ground-tit), 2661 nucleotides. RefSeq lists it as uncharacterized. NCBI's taxonomy places the organism in Eukaryota, Metazoa, Chordata, Aves, Passeriformes, Paridae. The record is from RefSeq and is a predicted model, not a curated record.
UACCUCCGAAACAGCGUUUCUUCCAGGCGGUGCCCGCCGCUCCAUGCUCACAUGCUCGCGUGUUUGUGCGGUUUUCCCACCCUCUGUAGCGGAACUUGAUUUAAAAAGAAGCAGGCGCGGCUCUAGAGGAAGAAAAGCACUUCUGCGUAAUCCGAUCGAGGGAUCGUAGUUAAUUAGUAAUUUUACAGAACGCUUUGCCAAAGUCGUGUAAUUGCGAGCUUCGCCUUUUAUUUGAGGAGGACAGUUGGUAGUUUUAUACCACGUUUGUAGCGUUCUAUACAUUCAGUUAUGUCUCGGUGAAAUAUAGAUCGAAGAGAAGGGCUGGUAAAAUGCAAAGUUGCGUUUAUACACGGCACUUAGAAUUCGGAAUUAUGCUUUCUAAAAUGCUGUGCUUUUUAAAAAGAAGUAGUAUUAUAGACUUGCUGGUUUAUGGUGGCACUGUGUGCUGUGCUUUUAAUACUCUUGUGCAGGUAUAAACCUCAGCAAGCAUCUCCAUCCAAAAAUGACGAAAGAGCUGGUUGCUAUUUCUUCCCUUGGGAAAUGAAGUCUUGAUUAUUUAGCCUAAUACUAGUGAAGCUCUUUUUGAUUCACAUCCAGUUAUAUCGUGGCUACACUAAAGAUGAAUCAUAUUACUGCAUGAAUAACUUUGGAGUGGAUUGUCUCUUGCAGUUCAUGUAAUGAAUGACUUUACAUGUCAUCCAAAUGGGCAAAGAGUUGAUGUAUCAGAGACUUGUUUAAAAAGUCAAGAUUUGAUUUCAUGUAACUGAAAUACAUCUGGGUUUUAUAUUUCUCACAUGUGUGUAAAUAUGAAGAGAGCAGUUCUUAGUGUUUGCCUUCCUACAGCCCUUCCACCUCAUGGCCUCAGGGCAAAGACUGCUUUCCCAGCCUGCCUGGUAUGUGGCAUUAGAUGCUACAGCCAUGUUCUUGCAAACAUAGGCUGCUUCAAGCAAGAAAAAUCUUUUGUGUACACGGGGGUUGACUGGAGUCCUCAAGAAGGUGGCUUAGUGCAAGUAGUAUGUUGAAAACAUAAUUCUCCUUGCAGAUCUUCGACACAACAUACUGCCUUCAGUGCUCACUGCUGCAUGGUUUGCUGUGCUUUGAGAUGAACAGCAUUUUCAUAAAUGUCCUGCUGCCAUUACAGAAAUAUUUUAUAAGCCAUAUACUGAGUGCAGCAAUACACAAGAAGACUCCAGUCAUGCAGAAAUACAGAGCUGGACAUACCUUGGUGUAUCCUAGUAGCUGAUGGCCUUCUUUGUUUGUCUGUGGAAGACAUGGGUUUACUGGAGGGAAAAAAAAAAUUAUUCUUUGUGCCCUGCAUUAUGGCUGCUUCAUGAGCGUCUGCACCUGGCUUUGUGAUGGAGGUCCAGCUUUCUAUCUGGGAUGUACCUAGCUCUUUUGUAUACCCCAGGAUUUGGACUCCAAAGCAGAACUUGGUAUAAAGUAAUUUUUACAAUUUCAGCUAUAUUGAAAUGCUUAAAUAAAUUAGUGCAUGGAUCUUAUAAUCCAUGGGUUUUGGUGGAAUCUCCAUAAAGGGAUCUCAGACAGGAAAUUUUCUACAUGCUUCUCCAUGGUGCUUCUUAGCACCAUCCUUACAGGAACUCUGUUCAAGAAAGGGGCAGGAAUGCUGCUGGAUGCUAUGAGAUGGUCUGCAGAUGGGAGCCAUCUGCACUGGGGUUUCAUGUCUUUGCAGCAGCUAUAGUCUUUCAAAGGCUUGCAUCAUGUGGGAGUGGGAAGGUAUCUGGGGGAUCUGCGGUGUGUAUAAUGAAUAGAGAGUCACUUGUUCAUACAGAAUAUAUCCGUACAGGAGAAUAGAAUAAGAUUGUGAGUUCCUGUCUGUUGGAAAUACAUGCAUGUGGGGAAAUAGCAGCCCCACUGUGCUAGUGAUAAUGUAGGAGCAAAGCACCCAGGAUGGUCUAAGGUUUGGGUAGGGUGCUGAAUUUUGUAGGGAAUGUGAGCUGGCUCAUGUAACUGUAACUCCUUUGUUCAUUUUGUUGGGGAAAACACAUUAACAUUUGCUUUGUUUCCAGUAGUAACCUGCAGUCUUUGUUUUUUGCGAUAUGUGUUUGAGUUAAACUUCUUCAACUUUUGGGGAAGUCAGGAAGCUGCAGACAGCAGAUGGAUAAGAAAGUGCACAGCCUCAGUACAGAGAGGGAGUGUGAAAGGUAGCCUGGCAUUGCCACCUCAGUUGAGCAUGUUCCUAUAGUCAAGUGGUAUAUGGUAUUAAAUAUUAUUCAUAACUGUUUUAUUACUGCUAAUUGUUUUCAGGGAAGUCUCCAAAUCUCCACCCAGUUUUCUGGCCAUAACUGGUGAAUAAUCAAGAAUUUGAUUAUGUGAUGUUCCCUUGAAAAAGCUGGAAAGUACUGCCAAGAAGCUAAGCAAACCACUUUGGCGUUGCCUUCACCUUGAAAUAUGACACAACAAGAAAAGGCAUCAUAUUACCUUUCCUUUUGGGAAUUGUGGCAGAUAUUGGGUCCCUGAGACUUUCCAACACCAAUUCACUGGUUAAUACAUUUGGACUUAUAAAAAAAUGGAUAAGCGAUCUCAUCCUUUGGUUUGGAUCCUUUGGGAUAAUUAGUUUACUCUGUUGGUUAUAGAGUGUAAAGUAAGCUUCAAGAAAAAAUAAAGAGCAGAAAGGACCUUCUGAAGUACAUGUAACAUGAA